CUCGCGAUAGCUCAGUUGGUAGAGCGGAGGACUGUAGUGGACGGAAUGAGAUAUCCUUAGGUCGCUGGUUCAAAUCCGGCUCGCGAGA
This is a non-coding RNA of Lingula anatina, 88 nucleotides long. The record is from Rfam. Lineage: Eukaryota; Metazoa; Brachiopoda; Lingulata; Lingulida; Lingulidae.